This 200-nucleotide long non-coding RNA is filed under the name Elaeis guineensis (African oil palm). RNAcentral describes it as "long non-coding RNA (EGUI_LNC026979)". The record is from RNAcentral. Lineage: Eukaryota; Viridiplantae; Streptophyta; Magnoliopsida; Arecales; Arecaceae.
UCUACACUAGCAUCAUCAGGAAGAAGCUCAUUGUCUUGAGAAUCAUUGCUAUAUGACAUAUCUUGGGUGCUUGCCAUCGCCUCUUUACCAGUAGCAACAGUGUUCCCAAAUAUUAUUCUGAGCUCUUCAUAUUUGGGAUGAGUGAAAGUUCAAAAUCUCUUCACUUCUGGAUAAACCUAUAAUAACAACUUUAUAUGUGA